GAUGAACGCUAGCUACAGGCUUAACACAUGCAAGUCGCGGGGCAGCAUGUCGGUUGCUUGCAACCGAUGAUGGCGACCGGCGCACGGGUGAGUAACGCGUAUCCAACCUGCCCUUCACCACGGAAUAAUCCAGUGAAAAUUGGUCUAAUACCGUAUGAGGCCAUACGAUGGCAUCAGAAUAUGACGAAAGGUUUGGCGGUGAAGGAUGGGGAUGCGUCUGAUUAGCUUGUUGGUGAGGUAACGGCUCACCAAGGCGACGAUCAGUAGGGGUUCUGGGAGGAAGGUCCCCCACAUUGGAACUGAGACACGGUCCAAACUCCUACGGGAGGCAGCAGUGAGGAAUAUUGGUCAACGGGCGAGAGCCUGAACCAGCCAAGUAGCGUGCAGGAAGACGGCCCUAUGGGUUGUAAACUGCUUUUAUAUGGGGAUAAAGUGAGCUACGUGUAGUUUAUUGCAGGUACCAUAUGAAUAAGGACCGGCUAAUUCCGUGCCAGCCGCCGCAGUAA
Molecule: ribosomal RNA, 506 nt
Filed under: uncultured bacterium
Lineage: Bacteria
Description: partial 16S ribosomal RNA
Rfam family: Bacterial small subunit ribosomal RNA
Source: RNAcentral